AUUGAACGCUGGCGGAAUGCUUUACACAUGCAAGUCGAACGGCAGCACGGACUUCGGUCUGGUGGCGAGUGGCGAACGGGUGAGUAAUGUAUCGGAACGUGCCCAGUCGUGGGGGAUAACGUAGUGGAAAUUACGCUAAUACCGCAUACGAUCUAUGGAUGAAAGCGGGGGAUCGCAAGACCUCGCGCGAUUGGAGCGGCCGAUAUCAGAUUAGGUAGUUGGUGGGGUAAAGGCCCACCAAGCCAACGAUCUGUAGCUGGUCUGAGAGGACGACCAGCCACACUGGAACUGGGACACGGUCCAGACUCCUACGGGAGGCAGCAGUGGGGAAUUUUGGACAAUGGGCGAAAGCCUGAUCCAGCCAUUCCGCGUGCAGGAUGAAGGCCCUCGGGUCGUAAACUGCUUUUGUACAGAACGAAAAGGUUUCUACUAAUACUAGGAGCUCAUGACGGUACUGUAAGAAUAAGCACCGGCUAACUACGUGCCAGCCGCCGCGGUAA
RNAcentral lists this ribosomal RNA (500 nucleotides) under uncultured bacterium. Its description in RNAcentral is "partial 16S ribosomal RNA". It matches the Rfam family "Bacterial small subunit ribosomal RNA", at positions 30 to 523 of the family's 1533-position model. The record is from RNAcentral.